Larimichthys crocea (large yellow croaker) is the source of this 288-nucleotide long non-coding RNA. RefSeq lists it as uncharacterized. The transcript is spliced from 3 exons. NCBI's taxonomy places the organism in Eukaryota, Metazoa, Chordata, Actinopteri, Sciaenidae. The record is from RefSeq and is a predicted model, not a curated record.
AAAAACGUCAAGUCACGUAACUCUUCGACACCAGUGCACGCUGGGAAACCGAGUUCUCAACAGAUGGCCACUGUACUCCACUACUACAGUGAUCCUGGCCUGGACAUCUGUUGAGCUGUUAGUUCCUGGAAUAACUAUGUCUAAAAGAGAACAGGAAAGACAAAUUUACCAAAGCUUUUUGCAGGCAGUUGACAGGGAACCCCCCGAGGUUGGAUCCUGAUGAAUCGUCGCUUGGGGAAGAGCCUGCAGCCUGCGCCUGUCGGGGCAUCAUAGGAACUGGAGUUGACU